UACGGAGGGGGCUAGCGUUGUUCGGAAUUACUGGGCGUAAAGCGCGUGUAGGCGGCUUUGCAAGUCGGGUGUGAAAGCCCUCAGCUCAACUGAGGAAGUGCGCCCGAAACUGCAGGACUUGAGGCUGGGAGGGGCUGGUGGAAUUCCCUGUGUAGCGGUGAAAUGCGUAGAGAUGGGGGAGAACACUCGUGGCGAAGGCGGCCAGCUAGACCAGUUCUGACACUGAGGCGCGACAGCGUGGGGAGCAAACAGG
RNAcentral lists this ribosomal RNA (253 nucleotides) under uncultured bacterium. RNAcentral's name for it is "partial 16S ribosomal RNA". It matches the Rfam family "Bacterial small subunit ribosomal RNA", at positions 524 to 776 of the family's 1533-position model. The record is from RNAcentral.